This 5613-nucleotide long non-coding RNA is filed under the name Prunus persica (peach). RNAcentral's name for it is "long non-coding RNA (PPER_LNC001491)". The record is from RNAcentral. Lineage: Eukaryota; Viridiplantae; Streptophyta; Magnoliopsida; Rosales; Rosaceae.
CUCAGUUUUGAAAUAUUUUUUACAAAGGCAUGUGCUGACACGUGGGGCAUAAUGGUUGGGGACUUUUUUUAUAUUUAAAAGUAGUAUAGCCGAACGGCUAUACUCAGUUUUGAAAUUUUUUUUAAAAAAGACACGUGUUGACACGUGUCGCCUAUUGGAUGGGAGAACUUUUUUUACAUUUAAGAAGUAUAGCCGGCCGGCUGUACUCAGUUUUGAAAAUUUUAUUUUUUUUAUAUUUAAAAAUAGUAUAGCCGCGCGGCUAUACUCAGUUUUGAAAUGUUUUUUAAAAAGACAUGUGUUGACACGUGGCUCCUAUUGGUUGGGGGAACUUUUUCUACAUUUAAAGCAGUACAGCCGGCCGGCUGUACUCAGUUUUGAAAAUUUUAUUUUUUUUUAUAUUUAAAAAUAGUACAGCCGCGCGGCUAUACUCAGUUUUGAAAUUUUUUUCAAAAGACAUGUGUCGACACGUGGCGCCUAUUGGUUGGGAGAAAUUUUUAUAUACGGAAAACACGUAUAGCCGCCCGGCUAUACUCGGUUUUGAAAUUUUUAUUUUUUUUAUAUUCAAAAAUAGUAUAGCCGCGCGGCUAGACUCAGUUUUGAUUUUUUUUCAAAAAGACAUGUGUUGACACGUGGCGCCUAUUGGUUGGGGGCCCUUUUUUUAUAUUUAAAAAUAGUACAGCCGCGCGGCUACACUCAGUUUAGCAAUUUUUUUUUUUUAAAUUUUAAAAAAGUACAUGUGUUGACAUGUGGCUCCUAUUUGUUGGGGGACUUUUUUUAUAUUAAAAAAUAGUAUAGCCAACCGGCUAUACUUACUUUUUUUUAUUUAAAAAAAAAUAGAAGCCAAUUGGGCUUCAAAUUCAACUUGGGCAUUGAAUAUUUAAUAUUUAAUUAUCAAAAAGAUGGCCUUGGGCCUUGGGGCACUUGGGUAUUUAGUUUCAAAUUAAUAAUUUUUUUUAAUAAUUAAUUCAUACUAGUUUAAUUAAUUUGACUGGGGGACUAUUUUAAUUUUUAAUAAUAAAUAGUAUAAUAUAUUGCCGUUGAUAAUGGUGUUAUACAAAUACAUACGUAUUUUUCAAUAAAUAGUAUAGACGAGCGGCUAUAAUCUUUUAGAUAUGUAUUCACACACACACACACACACACAUAUGUAGGUACGUAUUUUUCAACAAUACAUUCGUGUUCUAUACACGUCUCACGUUUUCUUUAAAAAGCAAACAUACAAUAGUCGUAUUGUACAUGUACGUACGUAUUACUAAUGUUUUAUACACGUAUUUUUUUUAAAAUUUUCAGUAACACACACAAAUUCACGUAUUAUACAAAUAAUUCUCACAUAUUAUUGAAUAAGAAUAACACCUGGUACAAAAAUUAUAUUAAAAUAUCAAAUAGUGGAACAUUAAUACCUACUUUGGAUAUGUUGCAAAUUAAUAUCCAUAAGGUACAAACCAAUGCAACUAGGAGGGUCUUUAUUUUUUUUGUUUUUAGGGGAAGACUAAGAGUACAGCCGCCCGGCUAUACUCCAUGUUUUCAAAUUUUUUAAAAAAGAUAUGUGUUGACACGAGGGUCCAAAUGGCAGGAGUCUUUUUUACAUUUUAAAAACGUAUAGCCGCAAGGCUAUACUCAGUUUUGAAAUAUUUUUUACAAAGGCAUGUGCUGACACGUGGGGCAUAAUGGUUGGGGACUUUUUUUAUAUUUAAAAGUAGUAUAGCCGAACGGCUAUACUCAGUUUUGAAAUUUUUUUUAAAAAAGACACGUGUUGACACGUGGCGCCUAUUGGAUGGGAGAACUUUUUUUACAUUUAAGAAGUAUAGCCGGCCGGCUGUACUCAGUUUUGAAAAUUUUAUUUUUUUAUAUUUAAAAAUAGUAUAGCCGCGCGGCUAUACUCAGUUUUGAAAUGUUUUUUAAAAAGACAUGUGUUGACACGUGGCUCCUAUUGGUUGGGGGAACUUUUUCUACAUUUAAAGCAGUACAGCCGGCCGGCUGUACUCAGUUUUGAAAAUUUUAUUUUAUUUUAUAUUUAAAAAUAGUACAGCCGCGCGGCUAUACUCAGUUUUGAAAUUUUUUUCAAAAGACAUGUGUCGACACGUGGCGCCUAUUGGUUGGGAGAAAUUUUUAUAUACGGAAAACACGUAUAGCCGCCCGGCUAUACUCGGUUUUGAAAUUUUUAUUUUUUUUAUAUUCAAAAAUAGUAUAGCCGCGCGGCUAGACUCAGUUUUGAUUUUUUUUCAAAAAGACAUGUGUUGACACGUGGCGCCUAUUGGUUGGGGGCCCUUUUUUUAUAUUUAAAAAUAGUACAGCCGCGCGGCUACACUCAGUUUAGCAAUUUUUUUUUUUUUAAAUUUUAAAAAAGUACAUGUGUUGACAUGUGGCUCCUAUUUGUUGGGGGACUUUUUUUAUAUUAAAAAAUAGUAUAGCCAACCGGCUAUACUUACUUUUUUUUAUUUAAAAAAAAAUAGAAGCCAAUUGGGCUUCAAAUUCAACUUGGGCAUUGAAUAUUUAAUAUUUAAUUAUCAAAAAGAUGGCCUUGGGCCUUGGGGCACUUGGGUAUUUAGUUUCAAAUUAAUAAUUUUUUUUAAUAAUUAAUUCAUACUAGUUUAAUUAAUUUGACUGGGGGACUAUUUUAAUUUUUAAUAAUAAAUAGUAUAAUAUAUUGCCGUUGAUAAUGGUGUUAUACAAAUACAUACGUAUUUUUCAAUAAAUAGUAUAGACGAGCGGCUAUAAUCUUUUAGAUAUGUAUUCACACACACACACACACACACACAUAUGUAGGUACGUAUUUUUCAACAAUACAUUCGUGUUCUAUACACGUCUCACGUUUUCUUUAAAAAGCAAACAUACAAUAGUCGUAUUGUACAUGUACGUACGUAUUACUAAUGUUUUAUACACGUAUUUUUUUUAAAAUUUUCAGUAACACACACAAAUUCACGUAUUAUACAAAUAAUUCUCACAUAUUAUUGAAUAAGAAUAACACCUGGUACAAAAAUUAUAUUAAAAUAUCAAAUAGUGGAACAUUAAUACCUACUUUGGAUAUGUUGCAAAUUAAUAUCCAUAAGGUACAAACCAAUGCAACUAGGAGGGUCUUUAUUUUUUUUGUUUUUAGGGGAAGACUAAGAGUACAGCCGCCCGGCUAUACUCCAUGUUUUCAAAUUUUUUAAAAAAGAUAUGUGUUGACACGAGGGUCCAAAUGGCAGGAGUCUUUUUUACAUUUUAAAAACGUAUAGCCGCAAGGCUAUACUCAGUUUUGAAAUAUUUUUUACAAAGGCAUGUGCUGACACGUGGGGCAUAAUGGUUGGGGACUUUUUUUAUAUUUAAAAGUAGUAUAGCCGAACGGCUAUACUCAGUUUUGAAAUUUUUUUUAAAAAAGACACGUGUUGACACGUGGCGCCUAUUGGUUGGGAGAACUUUUUUUACAUUUAAGAAGUAUAGCCGGCCGGCUGUACUCAGUUUUGAAAAUUUUAUUUUUUUAUAUUUAAAAAUAGUAUAGCCGCGCGGCUAUACUCAGUUUUGAAAUGUUUUUUUAAAAAGACAUGUGUUGACACGUGGCUCCUAUUGGUUGGGGGAACUUUUUCUACAUUUAAAGCAGUACAGCCGGCCGGCUGUACUCAGUUUUGAAAAUUUUAUUUUUUUUAUAUUUAAAAAUAGUAUAGCCGAGCGGCUAUACUCAGUUUUGAAAAUUUUUUCAAAAGACAUGUGUCGACACGUGGCGCCUAUUGGUUGGGAGAAAUUUUUAUAUACGGAAAACAAGUAUAGCCGCCCGGCUAUACUCAGUUUUGAAAUUUUUAUUUUUUAUAUUUAAAAAUAGUAUAGCCGCCCGGCUAUACGCAGUUUUGAAUUUUUUUGGAAAGACAUGUGUUGACACGUGGCGCCUAUUGGUUAGGGGCCCCUUUUUUUAUAUUUAAAAAUAGUACAGCCGCGCGGCUAUACUCAGUUAAAAGAAAAAGUACAUGUGUUGACAUGUGGCUCCUAUUUGUUGGGGGACCUUUUUUUAUAUUUAAAAAUAGUAUAGCCGCCCGGCUAUACUUACUUUUUUUAUUUAAAAAAAAUAGAAGCCAAUUGGGCUUCAAAUUCUAUUUGGGCAUUGAAUAUUUAAUAUUUAAUUAUCAAAAAGAUGGCCUUGGGCCUUGGGGCACUUGGGCAUUUUGAUUUAAAUUAAUUAUUUAGUUUCAAAUUAAUAAUUUUUUUAAUAAUUAAUUCAUACUAGUUUAAUUAAUUUGACUGGGGGACUAUUUUAAUUUUUAAUAAUAAAUAGUAUAAUAUAUUGCCGUUAAUAAUGGUAUUAUACAAAUACAUACGUAUUUUUCAAUAAAUAGUGUAGACGAGCGGCUAUAAUCUUUUAGAUAUGUAUUCAUAUAUAUAUAUACACACACACACACACACACACACACACACACACAUAUGUAGGUACGUAUUUUUCAACAAUACAUUCGUGUUCUAUACACGUCUCACGUUUUCUUUAAAAAGCAAACAUACAAUAGUCGUAUUGUACAUGUACGUACGUAUUACUAAUGUUUUAUACACGUAUUUUUUUUUAAAAUUUUCAGUAACACACACAAAUUCACGUAUUAUACAAAUAAUUCUGACAUAUUAUUGAAUAAGAAUAACACCUGGUACAAAAAUUAUAUUAAAAUAUCAAAUAGUGGAACAUUAAUACCUACUUUGGAUAUGUUGCAAAUUAAUAUCCAUAAGGUACAAACCAAUGCAACUAGGAGGGUCUUUUUUUUUAAUUUUAGGGGAAGAAAAAGAGUAUUUAUUAUACUAUUUAUUAUUAAAAUUUAAAAUUAAAAUAGUCCCCAAGUGCCCCAAGGCCCAAGGGCAUCUUUUUGACUAGGGGGCUAUUUUAAUUUUAAAUUUUAAUAAUAAAUAGUAUAAUAUAUUGCCGUUAAUAAUCGUGUUAUACAAAUACAUACGUAUUUUUUCAAUAAAUAGUAUAGACGAGCGGCUAUAGUUUUUUAGAUAUGUAUUGAUAUAUAUAUACACACACACAUAUGUUUGUACGUAUUUUUCAACAACACAUUCGUGUUCUAUACACGUGUCACGUUUUCUUUAAGAAGCAAACAUACAGUAGUCGUAUUGUACAUGUACGUACGUAUUACUAAUGUUUUAUACGCGUGUUGUUUUUAAAAAAUAUCAGUAACAGACACAAAUUCACGUAUUAUACAAAUAAGUCUCACAUAUUAUUGAAUAAGAAUAACACAUGGUACAAAAAUUAUAUUAAAAUAUCAAAUAGUGGAACGUUAAUAUCUACUUUGGAUAUGUUGCAAAUUAAUAUCCAUAAGUUACAAACCAAUGCAACUAGGAGGGUCUUUUUUUUGGUUUUUAGGGGAAGAAAAAGAGUACAGCCGGACGGCUAUACUCCAUGUUUUCAAUUUUUUUUAAAAAGAUAUGUGUUGACACGAGGGUCCAAAUGGCAGGAGUCUGUUUUAUAUUAAAAAAUAUUAUAUCCGCACAGCUAUACUCAGUUUUGAAAUAUUUUUUACAAAGUCAUGUGUUGACACGUGGGGCAUAAUGGUUGGGGUCUUUUUUUAUAUUUAAAAAUAGUAUAGCCGAACGGCUAUACUCAGUUUUGAAAUUUUUUUAAAAAAAGACAUGCGUUGACACGUGGCGCCUAUUGGUUGGGGG